This is a long non-coding RNA of Zingiber officinale, 1007 nucleotides long. RefSeq lists it as uncharacterized. The record is from RefSeq and is a predicted model, not a curated record. NCBI's taxonomy places the organism in Eukaryota, Viridiplantae, Streptophyta, Magnoliopsida, Zingiberales, Zingiberaceae. The transcript has 3 exons.
AAGGGUGGUCGUUACAGUUUUGCCCCUCUCUCCUCUCUCUCCUCUUUCUUUUCUCGUCUCUCACGUCUUCCUUCCUCCGCUCGACUCUUCUCUCUUCUCUCAGCCUCCACCUCGCUGAAAUCCUCGGCCAAUCAGAUCCAAUGGAGGUCGUUGUCCGCUGAAGCCCCGACGGAGAUACCGAUUGCGAUUGCCUUGCUUCGUCUCCUGAUCGCCUUGUUCUAACGACGAAAUAGGAGUAGGGGAGUCGUCCUUGUGAUGGUCGCCACGCCGGACGAGGUGGGAUGGGCAUAGCUCCCCGAUAAAAGCCUAUAAUAGCUUUACGAUCUCUAGAAGACCGUCGCUGACCUGGAAGCAUGUAAAGUUUUCCUCUUUACUGUUUAAAUUUGUGAUUUAAUGCCGGCGAGGGGUGUUCGAUCCUAUCCCUUUUGGGGAUUUAGACGUUCCAUCGUGGUCAGGUACUCUGAUGCUUGUUUCUAUUUGGAUUGGCUUCUCUUGGAAGAUGAUGUGCUUGUGUUUUCUCGUUCAUUAUCUUUUGCCCCUAUCGUGAAAUCAUUUGAUUUGGUGCCAUGAGUGAAUUUGUAAUAAUGGAUUCUCGACCUGUUAUUUUAUUUUGGUUCACUGAUGAAGGUUCUUUUUUUUUUAACCACCGGACCAAGGUUUGAUUUGGAUGCAUAUUUUUGUUGGCUUGGUUCUGUAUUCUGGUAUACCAUGCAUUGUUUUUUCAUGAUCAUUGCAUAUCCAAAUUUUUGUAAACUUAUCGUGAGGGGCAGGUGGUUAUGUUUUCUAUCUCAUAUAGUGCUGUGAUUCUGCCUUUGGGUGCGGAAGAUGAUGCGGUAUUUCUGAAAGCAAGUUUCUACUUCUGAUAAACUUAAGAUUGAGGCAACAAUGCUAUUCAAAAAGAUUUCCUUAAAGUUGGAUGCACUGUCUCACUUCCAUUUUGCUCCAAAGCUGGUUAUUGAGGACAUGUCUAUACAAGUCAAUGUACCUGCUGUAGCAAUGGAAGAGGU